RNAcentral lists this transfer RNA (74 nucleotides) under Mus musculus (house mouse). It matches the Rfam family "tRNA". Rfam says of the family: Transfer RNA (tRNA) molecules are approximately 80 nucleotides in length. Their secondary structure includes four short double-helical elements and three loops (D, anti-codon, and T loops). Further hydrogen bonds mediate the characteristic L-shaped molecular structure. tRNAs have two regions of fundamental functional importance: the anti-codon, which is responsible for specific mRNA codon recognition, and the 3' end, to which the tRNAs corresponding amino acid is attached (by aminoacyl-tRNA synthetases). tRNAs cope with the degeneracy of the genetic code in two manners: having more than one tRNA (with a specific anti-codon) for a particular amino acid; and 'wobble' base-pairing, i.e. permitting non-standard base-pairing at the 3rd anti-codon position. The record is from Rfam by way of RNAcentral. Lineage: Eukaryota; Metazoa; Chordata; Mammalia; Rodentia; Muridae.
GGAGAGAUGGCUCAGCGGUUAAGAGCACUGGCUGUUCUUUCCAGAAGUCCUGAGUUCAAUUCCCAGUGACUACA